This 444-nucleotide ribosomal RNA is filed under the name uncultured Actinomycetes bacterium. RNAcentral's name for it is "bacterial SSU rRNA". It matches the Rfam family "Bacterial small subunit ribosomal RNA", at positions 1 to 454 of the family's 1533-position model. The record is from RNAcentral. Lineage: Bacteria; Bacillati; Actinomycetota; Actinomycetes.
AGGAGUUUGAUCAUGGGCUCAGGACGAACGCUGGCGGCGUGCUUAACACAUGCAAGUCGAACGGUGAAGAGGAGCUUGCUUCUUGGAUCAGUGGCGAACGGGUGAGUAACACGUGAGUAACCUGCCCCAAACUCUGGGAUAAGCACUGGAAACGGUGUCUAAUACCGGAUACGAGCUUCAGCCGCAUGGCUAGGAGUUGGAAAGAAUUUCGGUUUGGGAUGGACUCGCGGCCUAUCAGCUUGUUGGUGAGGUAAUGGCUCACCAAGGCGACGACGGGUAGCCGGCCUGAGAGGGUGACCGGCCACACUGGGACUGAGACACGGCCCAGACUCCUACGGGAGGCAGCAGUGGGGAAUAUUGCACAAUGGGCGCAAGCCUGAUGCAGCAACGCCGCGUGAGGACGACGGCCUUCGGUUGUAACCUCUUUAGUAGGGAAGAACCAAA